Molecule: long non-coding RNA, 462 nt
Organism: Myotis davidii
Lineage: Eukaryota; Metazoa; Chordata; Mammalia; Chiroptera; Vespertilionidae
Exons: 2
Source: RefSeq, a predicted model, not a curated record
CGGCUUCUCCGGCCCCGCGCGUGUGGCCUACGGGGAGUGGUAGUCCAGUUCUCCGCUUGGGGCGCGGCAGAGAGCGGCCGCGAACUACCAAUCCCGUGAUGCAACGCGUCCAGAGCGCCGCCGCCGGCCCCUCUCCCUCCCUUUUCAGCUUCUGGCUCUUUCUGCGGGAGACCACGGGGCGGCGUUUAGACGUGAGCGCCCCGGAAGACUACAAUUCCCUUAAAGCUUUGCAGCCUAGCCUCCCCGCCCUUCCGGAAAGGUGCAAACUCACUUAACAAAGCCGUAGAGCCGAAGGCACGCUGUUGGGUCAGUUCAGCAAGCGGUAAUAUUGAGACAAUUAGCAGGAGUUGAAAAGGGAGGGCGAAGAGGGGACCGGCGGCAGCGCUCUGGGCAUGUUGCACCACGGGACUGAAAGAUAACAGUAUUGUAUCAACAUUAAAUUUAUUGAUUUUUAUUACUGUA